RNAcentral lists this unclassified non-coding RNA (1340 nucleotides) under Drosophila yakuba. RNAcentral describes it as "GE15938". Lineage: Eukaryota; Metazoa; Arthropoda; Insecta; Diptera; Drosophilidae. The record is from RNAcentral.
UCCUCGCGAUUCUGGGGCUGCGUCGAUUUCCCGAGCAUUUGGCGCGAGUGCGAAACAUUUCAAAAAUUGCCCCAUUUGCGUGAGAGAGCUGCCCGAAAAAUGUUGGACGCACUGCAUCAAGGCGGGCCGGGCCCCUGAAAACCAAAAGAGAAAUUGAAAUAGAUAUCAAUAAAUAAUUAAAUGUUAAAUAAUUAAAUGAUAGUGCAAGUAAUUUGGGCAUAAGCCAGAUCAAGCAAAAAAAAAAAGCGGAGUGGAGAAUGCCGAUGAAGAAGGUGACGGUGAAGGAGUACGAUUCGCAGGAUGAGGCCAGCACCGAGCUGCUGGAGAAGCUCAAGCACCUGGACCGCCGUGUGGAUGCCGCCGAGGGCGGGGGCGUGGCCAAGGGAGCGGGCGGCGGACGGCGGAGGAGCACCGCCUGCUGGCAGUCGGUGAAGUGGAAGUCGGCGCUCAAUCACAUCGGACUGCUCGUCUCCCUGUCCAUUUACUGCGGCGUGGGCGGAUUGAUAUUUCGCCAUUUGGAACGUCCUGCGGAGGUGGAGCGUCUGUCGCAUCUGAAGGAUGUUGUGAAAACGCACAGAGAGCGCUUUCUGCACACCAUACUGAACAACACCGAAGUGCACAAUCUCGACGAGCUGUUGUCCUUCGAGCUGGCCAAAUACGAAGCGGCCGUUCAACAGGCGGCUGAGGGGGGGCUACUCAUUGUGGCCGAUAAAGACUUUCCAGAGCCCUACGAGCGAUGGAGCAUUCUGCAAGCUGUGUUCUUCUCAUCGACUGUGUUAACCACCAUAGGCUAUGGCAAUAUUGUGCCAGUGACGACCGGUGGUCGGGUAUUUUGCAUUUGUUUCGCCCUUAUUGGCAUCCCGUUCACACUCACCGUGAUUGCCGAUUGGGGUCGACUGUUUGCUACCGCAGUCUCUGUGUUUGGCAAACACAUGCCCAGCAAACCAAAGUUUACCAAUUUCAUUGGCAAAACCUGGUUCUAUGCCAUUUUGGCCGUGGGCUUUCUCGGCGUUUACUUGGCCGCCGGUGCUGGUCUUCUCCUGCUGUGGGAAGAUGAUUGGACAUUCUUCGAUGGCUUCUACUUUUGUUUCAUCACCAUGACAACCAUCGGAUUCGGUGAUUUGGUGCCAAGUAUGAGAAACCCAACUACAUGCUGCUCUGCACAUUGUACAUCCUCAUUGGCCUGGCCCUGACAUCGACCAUCAUUGAGCUGGUGCGACGGCAAUAUGCCACCAGUUGGGCCAAACUGCAGGAGCUAUCUGGUCCCAUGGCGGAAACUUUACGUCGCUUGGGCGAAACAGCGGGCACAGGACUCGAUUACACAGCCCUGCAAAAGGUCC